This 924-nucleotide small RNA is filed under the name Pongo abelii (Sumatran orangutan). RNAcentral's name for it is "retained intron". Lineage: Eukaryota; Metazoa; Chordata; Mammalia; Primates; Hominidae. The record is from RNAcentral.
GAAAGGGCGGAGCUGGAGCGGGCCAAGAGCGCCUUGCUGGAGGAGCAGAAGUCUGUCAUGCUCAAGUGCGGGGAGGAGCGGCGGCGCCUGGCUGCCGAGUGGGCGGAGUUCUCCGCGCAGCAAAAGCUGAGUAAGGAGCGGGCCGAGCGCGAGGCCGAGCGGGCGCUGCAGGUGGACACCCAGCGGGAGGGCACCCUCAUCAGCCUGGCCAAGGUAGGGCCCAGAGCCUCCGGACAGUGGAGGGCCCAGGGUAGCCUGCGCCCCUCCAUCUGGACACAUCCGCUUCCAGUCUUAGGAAAGGAGAAUGUAGCACUAAUGUCACAAGAGCAUAGGGAUUAAAACAGUAAUCGCAUCAUCAUGCUAACAGCUUCCUCGUAUUGUCCCAGGUGCAUGAUACACAUUUUAUUUGAUCCUCAUAUUCCCAUGACUUUGAUCAUUUAGAAAUGAGGAACCCCAACUUCAGAGCUGAGCCUGCCACAGUCACGUGGCUUGUGAGGGCAGCACUCGGGCUUGGCCCAGGCUUCUCUGGCUCUCCCUGGAAGCCCCUGGCUCCACCACCCCCUCCCAGGGGCAGGGUGGGCAGAGGGGACCCUAGGGUCCUGCACAGAGCGCAGCGCAACUCCUGGGAGGAGAAUGCAGCAGGGCCUCCGCCGUCUCCAGGAGCAGGCUGAGCUGAAGAUCAGGGCCAGCGAGCUCCGGGCCGAGGAGAAGCAGCUGGCAGCGGAGAGAGCAGCCCUGGAGCAGGAGCGGCAGGAGCUGCGGCUGGAGAAGGAGAGGAUCAACGCCACCGCCCUGCGUGUCAAGCUCCGCGCUGAGGAGGUGGAGAGCAUGAGCAAGGUGCUGCUCGGGCACAUGGGCAUGGGCGCAGCUGAGCCCAGGCAGCCCUGACCCAGGCGGCCUCCCUGCAGGUGGCCUCCAAGAAGU